GGAUUAGAUACCCUGGUAGUCCACGCUGUAAACGAUGGAUACUAGGUGUAGGGGGUGUCGACUCCCCCUGUGCCGCAGUUAACGCAAUAAGUAUCCCACCUGGGGAGUACGACCGCAAGGUUGAAACUCAAAGGAAUUGACGGGGGCCCGCACAAGCAGUGGAGUAUGUGGUUUAAUUCGAAGCAACGCGAAGAACCUUACCAGGGCUUGACAUACCGAUGACCGGUCUGGAAACAGACCUUUCCUUCGGGACAUCGGAUACAGGUGGUGCAUGGUUGUCGUCAGCUCGUGUCGUGAGAUGUUGGGUUAAGUCCCGCAACGAGCGCAACCCCUGCCCCUUGUUGCCAUCAUUAAGUUGGGAACUCUAGGGGGACUGUCGGUGUCAAACCGGAGGAAGGUGGGGAUGACGUCAAGUCCUCAUGGCCCUUGAUGGCCAGGGCUACACACGUACUACAAUGGUCAGUACAAAGCGUCGCCAACCCGUGAGGGGGAGCUAAUCGCAAAAAUCUGACCUCAGUUCGGAUUGAAGGCUGCAAUUCGCCUUCAUGAAGUUGGAAUCGCUAGUAAUCGCGGAUCAGCAAGCCGCGGUGAAUACGUUCUCGGGCCUUGUACACACCGCCCGUCACACCACGAAAGCUCAUUGGACCAGAAGUUGUGAGGUCUUCUUGCACCCAAGGUCUGGUGGGCGAUUGGGGUGAAGUCGUAACAAGGUAGCCGU
This 718-nucleotide ribosomal RNA is filed under the name uncultured bacterium. RNAcentral describes it as "bacterial SSU rRNA". It matches the Rfam family "Bacterial small subunit ribosomal RNA", at positions 775 to 1503 of the family's 1533-position model. The record is from RNAcentral.